Molecule: ribosomal RNA, 810 nt
Filed under: uncultured rumen bacterium
Lineage: Bacteria
Description: bacterial SSU rRNA
Rfam family: Bacterial small subunit ribosomal RNA
Source: RNAcentral
CAGGCCUUAACACAUGCAAGUCGAGGGGCAGCAUGAGGUUUGCUUGCAAACCUUGAUGGCGACCGGCGCACGGGUGCGUAACGCGUAUCCAACCUUCCAGCUACUAGGGAAUAGCCCGUUGAAAGACGGAUUAAUGCCCUAUGUGUUCAUUAGAUGGCAUCAGAUGUUGAACAAAGAUUCAUCGGUAGCUGAUGGGGAUGCGUAUGAUUAGCUAGUCGGCGGGGUAACGGCCCACCGAGGCUACGAUCAUUAGGGGUUCUGAGAGGAAGGUCCCCCACACUGGUACUGAGACACGGACCAGACUCCUACGGGAGGCAGCAGUGAGGAAUAUUGGUCAAUGGGCGAGAGCCUGAACCAGCCAAGUAGCGUGCAGGACGACGGCCCUAUGGGUUGUAAACUGCUUUUAUGCGGGGAUAAAGUUCACUACGUGUAGUGUUUUGCAGGUACCGCAUGAAUAAGGACCGGCUAAUUCCGUGCCAGCAGCCGCGGUAAUACGGAAGGUCCGGGCGUUAUCCGGAUUUAUUGGGUUUAAAGGGAGCGUAGGCUGGGGUAUAAGCGUGACGUGAAAUGUAGUUGCCCAACAUCUGCACUGCGUCGCGAACUGUUCCUCUUGAGUGAGUUGAAAGCCGGCGGAAUUCGUGGUGUAGCGGUGAAAUGCUUAGAUAUCACGAAGAACUCCGAUUGCGAAGGCAGCUGGCUGUACCUUUACUGACGCUGAAGCUCGAAGGUGCGGGUAUCGAACAGGAUUAGAUACCCUGGUAGUCCGCACGGUAAACGAUGGAUGCUCGCUGUCUGCCUUUUUUUUGGCAG